CCCCAGAUGUUGCUGAACUACAACUCCCAUGAUUCUUUCAAUGAAACAGAUAACAUGGAAUCAUGGGAGUUGUAGUUCAGCAACAUCUGGGG
This is a non-coding RNA of Pelobates cultripes (western spadefoot toad), 92 nucleotides long. NCBI's taxonomy places the organism in Eukaryota, Metazoa, Chordata, Amphibia, Anura, Pelobatidae. The record is from the annotation of a GenBank genome assembly.